AUUGAACGCUGGCGGCAUGCUUUACACAUGCAAGUCGAACGGCAGCGCGGGCUUCGGCCUGGCGGCGAGUGGCGAACGGGUGAGUAAUACAUCGGAACGUGCCCAGUAGUGGGGGAUAGCUCGGCGAAAGCCGGAUUAAUACCGCAUACGACCUGAGGGUGAAAGCGGGGGAUCUUCGGACCUCGCGCUAUUGGAGCGGCCGAUGGCAGAUUAGCUAGUUGGUGGGGUAAAGGCCUACCAAGGCGACGAUCUGUAGCUGGUCUGAGAGGACGACCAGCCACAGGGGGACUGAGACACGGCCCCACCCCCUACGGGGGGCAGCGGGGGGGAAUUUCGGAAAAGGGGGGAAAGCCUGACCCAGCAAGGCCGGGUGGGGGAUGAAGGCCUUCGGGUUGAAAAGCCCUUUUGGGGGGAACAAAAGGGACUGGCCCAAACCCACGGUUCGAUGGCGGCCCCCGAAAAAAAAGCACCGGCUAACCACGU
Molecule: ribosomal RNA, 483 nt
Filed under: uncultured bacterium
Lineage: Bacteria
Description: partial 16S ribosomal RNA
Rfam family: Bacterial small subunit ribosomal RNA
Source: RNAcentral